UGCGUAGGUGGCGCCGUAAGUCAGGUGUGAAAUCUCGGGGCUUAACUCCGAAACUGCAUUUGAUACUGCGGUGCUUGAGGACUGGAGAGGAGACUGGAAUUCAUGGUGUAGCAGUGAAAUGCGUAGAGAUCAUGAGGAAGACCAGUGGCGAAGGCGGGUCUCUGGACAGUUCCUGACACUGAGGCACGAAGGCCAGGGGAGCAAACG
Molecule: ribosomal RNA, 207 nt
Filed under: uncultured bacterium
Lineage: Bacteria
Description: partial 16S ribosomal RNA
Rfam family: Bacterial small subunit ribosomal RNA
Source: RNAcentral